UGAUGGUGGUGGGGCGGCCGAUACUCGUCGCCACUGCCCAUCAUCUGUCCCCCCAUCAUCAUGCCGCCACCAGCGCCGCCGUACAUCUGCUGCUGAUCCGUCAUCAUGCCGCCGCCGUACAUUUGUUGCUGAUCCAUCAUGCCGCCGCCGUACAUGCCCUGCUGGAUACCGCCGUACAUCUGCUGGCCCGUCAUGCCGCCGCCGUACAUUUCCGGCUGCCACCUCAGCGACACCGAUAAAAUGCCGUGUUGCUCCAUAUUGUGCAUAUCCAUAACAGGGACCUGUUUGUUGUCCUGGCCCAUUUCCCGGACUCGGGACAAAUUAACGGUGGCGAUGCCUAGGUUCGGAUCUCGACCAAUCUCACUAUCCUACGGGGGUUAGUAGAAAUGGAAGAUAGUGCGCAACGAACGAAAAGAAAAAACGAACGAGAUCUAGUAAGCCUAAUGUCAAAAGCGCCGGGCUUCAUCUGCAGAAAGCCUGAAAAGUGGACUUCUGACACGCCAGGACAGGCAUAUGAAGAAGUUUUGCGUCGUCCUCGUCAAACGCCGACCAAUUUGCUCAAGUUAACAGCAAGCAGGCAACACUGUGCGAAAGGGCGUCGUGCAUAGAUGCAUAUGGCAUGCGCCUCGCUGACGUUGCAAAAAGCUGAAAAGGUAAUAAAGUCGCAGAGGUCGCAUGUCGCUACUGCAGCCGAGGCGAGCCGAAAGGGCGACCCCAAAAAACACCUGUUGUAGCCAAGCCAAGGUGUCGCGCUAACGAUAUUAACGGGGGACAGCGUGUGGGCACAUAAACUAACGACGCUCUCCCACAGAGCGGAUUCGGGUUCUCUACCUUUAGCUCAACGGUGAGAUCGUUCUCGUUGCCGAUGUUGAACUGGAAGGUCUCAUUCCAUACGGGGUUCUUGCCGGCCCGGGUUGCAGUUUGAGUCCGAUGUGUCUGUGUGCCCACGGACAGAAUGCAGUACGGACUCUGCCUG
This 976-nucleotide long non-coding RNA is filed under the name Volvox carteri. RNAcentral describes it as "long non-coding RNA (VCAR_LNC000480)". The record is from RNAcentral. Lineage: Eukaryota; Viridiplantae; Chlorophyta; Chlorophyceae; Chlamydomonadales; Volvocaceae.